RNAcentral lists this ribosomal RNA (253 nucleotides) under uncultured bacterium. RNAcentral's name for it is "partial 16S ribosomal RNA". It matches the Rfam family "Bacterial small subunit ribosomal RNA", at positions 524 to 776 of the family's 1533-position model. The record is from RNAcentral.
UACGUAGGGGGCUAGCGUUGUCCGGAUUUAUUGGGCGUAAAGAGCGUGUAGGCGGCCAUGUAGGUCCGGUGUGAAAACUCGAGGCUUAACCUCGAGAUGUCAUCGGAAACCAUUUGGCUAGAGUCCGGAAGAGGAGAGUGGAAUUCCUGGUGUAGCGGUGAAAUGCGCAGAUAUCAGGAAGAACACCUAUGGCGAAGGCAGCUCUCUGGGACGGUACUGACGCUGAGACGCGAAAGCGUGGGGAGCGAACAGG